GGAAAAGUGUCGACAACAUCAAAGCAUGAAGCACCACUCCAGAGAAGACUUCCAGUUCAGGCAGGAAGGAAGAUCGCUGCAAGCUGAUAAGGUUGAUCGGUCUGAGGUGGAAGUGUGGCGACACAUGGAGCUGACAGCUGCUAAUCGAUCAAGGACUUAACCACAUUU
This 168-nucleotide ribosomal RNA is filed under the name Bacillus subtilis subsp. subtilis. RNAcentral's name for it is "partial 23S ribosomal RNA". It matches the Rfam family "Bacterial large subunit ribosomal RNA", at positions 2762 to 2925 of the family's 2925-position model. Lineage: Bacteria; Bacillati; Bacillota; Bacilli; Caryophanales; Bacillaceae. The record is from RNAcentral.